Molecule: unclassified non-coding RNA, 327 nt
Filed under: soil metagenome
Description: partial contains 5.8S ribosomal RNA, internal transcribed spacer 2, and large subunit ribosomal RNA
Rfam family: 5.8S ribosomal RNA (bases 1-120)
Source: RNAcentral
GAUGAAGAACGGAGCGAAAUGCGAUAAGUAAUGUGAAUUGCAGAAUUCAGUGAAUCAUCGAAUCUUUGAACGCACAUUGCGCCCCUUGGUAUUCCGGGGGGCAUGCCUGUUCGAGCGUCAUUAUAACCCCUCAAGCUCAGCUUGGUGUUGGGGCCUGCCGACUGGCAGCCCUUAAAAUCAGUGGCGGCGCCAUCUGGCUCUAAGCGUAGUAAUUUCUCUCGCUAUAGAGUCCCGGUGGAUGCUUGCCAGCAACCCCCAACUUUCUAUGGUUGACCUCGGAUCAGGUAGGGAUACCCGCUGAACUUAAGCAUAUCAAUAAGCGGAGGA